GUUGUAGGGAAGUAGUCUGUAGUUAUUCCCUAGGAGAAGGGAGGUGUGUUUUAGGCUAUGGUGUCUGUAGUUAAUCCCUGGGAGGAGGGAGUUUGAGCUAUUAUACCCAGGGAACUAGAAGCUGUACAAAGGAGUCUGGGGAAGGAGUUGCCAGGUAUAGGGUCCCUGGGCUGAAACCUAGAGUAAUGAGUACUGUCUACUAAGAAAGUGGCACUGUCAGGGUAGUGCUGGAGAUGACUACCUGAGAACAUUCAUGUAGAAGGACUUUGGGGCCCCCAGAAGGGGAAACCACAUAAUGACCCAGCUGGAGGUCCAAGACACGAAGAGGAGACUGUAGUUCCUGGAAUGAGAGAGGGGGCCACAGGAAAAGAGAGAGUGAUAGAGUGCAACUGCUGGAAGGGGCAUCAACCUGGCAGAGCUAAUCUCCAGAACCGCCAGGAGGCAGUGCUGUCCAGGGGUCAGUAGAGCUCCUCUGUCACAGGGAUAAUAAUGGAUACAUAUCUCACAGGGAUGCUGUGACAAUUAAUUAAUAUCUUUCAGGUGCUAAAAUUCACUAGACUGCACCAUAAUCUAGAGCUCCCCCAACCUCUCCUUUAUUUGAGCUAUAAUACAUUGUAAAACUUACUAAAGUGUUGGCAACUGUACAAGGGCUUUGGGUUGAAAUUGCUAGAAUUUUUAGUACCAACUGAAGGGUCAGGUUCUCUAUUGCUCUACACCAUAUGAGAUCAUUUGCAUCCAAGCCGAGUGGGUGUCAAAUGCUAGAGAGUCAGAAUUUUAAUGUUUUAUAUCCACUCUAAAUUCUUUGCAUGGGUGUAAAUGCCGCACAAGGGGCACAGGGCAAGAGCGAAAUGAGACCUAAAAUUGCAUUUAGUCUGAUUCCUCGUGAUGUGAAUUUGGGCAGCUGAAGAUAUUAAGGGAGGGCAGAUGACUGAAUGACAAGGACUGAGGACAAGCACCAUUUGCUGGUAAAUGGCCUCCAAAAUUAACGUUCACCAGACCAGGAAGACCCUUAAACUCAGCCUUAGCUAUCUGAUAGCAAAGCAGCACAGGGAAUGGAUUCAUCCUCUGCAAAAGAAAACAACUGGCAGAAAGGAAGGAGCAGUGAAGAACAAUUUAGGAGAAAAUGCUACACAAGAGGUGAGCUUUGUCCUAAAGGAGGGGAGGAAGGACACCAGCCACUGAAAUCAGAAUUAAAAACAAGGGCCACAGUAAUUGUGAUACUUAGCUGGCAAUCAUUUAAUACUUCAGUGUCAUUAACAUUUACUAAAGGACCCUGCUUUCACACAGCAAAUACCGAGAAACCUGGUUUCUCUCCAAAAUAAACCAGACAGUUCAGUCCAACUCAAACAUGCUGGAUAGGUGUCCACGUCAGGAAAACUACCAUCACAACUGACAUUCUCAGCAGAGAGGUGAAGGACUGAUUGAAAAAUGUGAUAUCUUCUCUUCAUUCUGCAUGGCUUUUCCAGUGAAGGUUGAAGCACAUAAGUAAGCCUAGGAAGGGGAAGUUUGCACGGCUGUGCGUGUUUUUGUCAAUAAACAGAGGACUUUCAUUUCCAGCACUGAACAGUAAAUUUACUUUUCAAAAAUACUACCAUUUAGAAAUGUAACACAAGAUGGAAACAGUCACAAUGGCUAGAGAAAAAAAUUGAACUGAGGCUAGACUUUUCAUUUACCCAAAAAAAGGGGGAGGGAGGGUAGAAGUUUUCCAUAUUUCUUCAUCUACAUAGUCAAAGUCUGGGCUAUAUCAAAAUGUAUUAAAUAUGAAGUGGAUUGUUUUACUCAGCAGUGGUCCCUCACAGUUUCCAUUAUCCUUCACUAUAACAAGUAUUCUGAGGGUGUCUGAUAACUGAACGAUGCAAACUGUAAUUUGCAAUUUUUGUUAUGGUGUAAGGAGGUGGAUAUUUACUCAAGUUUUUUU
Chelonia mydas (Green sea turtle) is the source of this 1918-nucleotide long non-coding RNA. RefSeq lists it as uncharacterized. Lineage: Eukaryota; Metazoa; Chordata; Testudines; Cheloniidae. The transcript is spliced from 3 exons. The record is from RefSeq and is a predicted model, not a curated record.